This 521-nucleotide ribosomal RNA is filed under the name uncultured bacterium. RNAcentral's name for it is "bacterial SSU rRNA". It matches the Rfam family "Archaeal small subunit ribosomal RNA", at positions 345 to 866 of the family's 1478-position model. The record is from RNAcentral.
AACCUCCGCAAUGUGAGAAAUCGCGACGGGGGGAUCCCAAGUGCCAUUCUUAACGGGAUGGCUUUUCAUUAGUGUAAAGAGCUUUUGGAAUAAGAGCUGGGCAAGACCGGUGCCAGCCGCCGCGGUAACACCGGCAGCUCUAGUGGUAACAAUUUUUAUUGGGCCUAAAGCGUCCGUAGCCGGUUUAAUAAGUCUCUGGUGAAAUCCUGUAGCUUAACUGUGGGAAUUGCUGGAGAUACUAUUAGACUUGAGACCGGGAGAGGUUAGAGGUACUCCCAGGGUAGAGGUGAAAUUCUGUAAUCCUGGGAGGACCGCCUGUUGCGAAGGCGUCUAACUGGAACGGUUCUGACGGUGAGGGACGAAAGUUAGGGGCGCGAACCGGAUUAGAUACCCGGGUAGUCCUAACUGUAAACGAUACGGACUUGGUGUUGGGGUGGCUUUGAGCUGCUCCAGUGCCGAAGGGAAGCUGUUAAGUCCGCCGCCUGGGAAGUACGGUCGCAAGACUGAAACUUAAAGGAAUU